Papilio polytes (common Mormon) is the source of this 330-nucleotide long non-coding RNA. RefSeq lists it as uncharacterized. Lineage: Eukaryota; Metazoa; Arthropoda; Insecta; Lepidoptera; Papilionidae. The record is from RefSeq and is a predicted model, not a curated record. The transcript has 3 exons.
CUGCAGGCCGCCGCCAGCGCCGCAUACGCUCUCGGGCCGGUGGCGGGCGGCGCGCUGGCAUGGUGCGCUGGCUUCGCUACAACGCUGCGUGCGCUCGGCCUCGCCAACUUACUGUACGCAGUGCUGUUGUACCGCGCGCUCGCCAAGCACCCGCUCUCCGUACAGUGGGGGGCUGGAACACCGACUGACGAUGACAGCGAAGAAGAAGGGGCCGAGCUUACUCCGCUACGCUAACUCCACCCCUUCCCUCCCCCCACACACAAAUAGAACGAGUUUUGAAUCAUUUUAAUUGCAAUAAAACAUAUCUGCAUAUAUGAUACCUUACAUUUG